GAUGUCAUGAGUCUCAGCUACCAGGGGAUGCCCGGCCACCAAAGAGCGGAUGACAGAGGAGCGUCACUUCCGCUUCUGUCCCUCUUCUCAGUAUCACAGGCGCACAACUCACUGGAGACUGGCAAUUUACUUCACAUGUUUCUUCCCUGGUCUCGCUGCAGGCUCCCAGGCCAGGGCCCACCCCUCACCCUCAAGGCCUCCGCGCCUGCCCGGGACACCCAGGCCUUUUCUGAUUCCUGUUCAACCCACGGCGGCCUCCUAGGCCCUCAUCUCCAGGCAGCUUGUGUGGCACCCCUUGUCCUCUCCCACACUACAAGGGCGACCCUCUUGGGUUCCUGCAGGCUAUGGCCUCCGAGCCGCCUGUUGGGAACUCCCGGAGGCUGCCGCACCCAGGGUCCCUGAGGACCCUCCUCCUGGCUGCAAGGUCGCCCACCCACUGCCUUCACCACUUGAGCAGGUCGCAGCCAGGCUUCUGAAGGAGACAGAGGGGAGGGCCAAAGAAGAGCCCAGAACAGUGACGCAGAUGCAUCACGGAGAGACCCAGGAGCAGGAUGACAAGAAAAGGGCCCCUGUAGCCAGAAGGAAGUGUCAUCCACAUCCAGGGCCCUGGAGACCCAGGGAGGCCUCACCUCCUUUGGGUGCAGGCCCAGGCCUCUGCAGGGAAAUGUCCACCCCUACUUGUCGGAAAAACUCUUUACAGAGAGAAGGCCCAGUCAGUGAGUAGCUCCUUCUGGGAGGGCCAUGAGGCCCCCAGCUCAUACAGCCCUGCUGGAGUGGCCUUCCCCUUGGGAAGGCUGACCCGGCUUCUGCAGUGGUCCCGGCCCCGGCCCCGGCCCCAGCCCCGGCUGCUCCCUGCUGCCAGAGAAGGCGGCCCGGAAGGUGCUGGAUGAAGACCACCCGCCCAGCUCUCCAAGCUUGCUGAUGUCCAGGAAGGAGAUGCAGAUGUCAGGAAAGAAGAAGCCUUCAGCUCUUCCAACAUGGAGCUCUUCUCCCCCAAGAGCUGCCAGCAACAGGCGCUGUGAAAGGAAAAUGUGGAUUCCACCGCUGCUGCCGCUGGCCCCACGCUGCGAUUGAUGUGGGAUAGAGGUGAGCUCUCUCCACUUGCUAAGCUUCUCUACCUGCCUAUUGAGGGAUACCUGGGGAACUUGGAGAAGAGCAUGGGGUGUAAACAGAAGAGAAAACUUCUUCAAGGAGAAAAUGGAGGCUUUGGAGGAUAAAACGGAGGCCAAGGUAAACUGCAGCACCACUCAUCCUGCCCUUGCUGUCUCCGCACCUGCAGAGACUUCAGACUCCCUGUCCCUGGCCACCUACACUUCGCAGGUCCCAGCUCCUCUGUUCGUCCUUGACUUGGCCGAGUUGGCUGCCAGACCCCCCUGCCUGUCUGUCCACCUGACCCCUCACCAAAAAUAUCCAAAAUCCCUAACUCCCCACUGUCUUUUUUUUCCACUGACUUUGUCCCUAUAUUGGAGGUUCUACCUAAUGAGAAAGGAGGUUCUUCUCAUUCUGGAGUAGCUUCAGCACUUCUCACUUCUGACCCCCAACACUUUCUAGCCCCACACCUGUCUCCUUCCAGCCUCCUUUCAGAAGAGAGCCAGCCCUGUGUGCUUUCCCCUCCUCCUCUUUCCUCUCCCACCCUUCUUCCAGGACCUUCCACAGAUCUCUGUUACCACCAGCAAGCAGAUGAAUUCCACAGCAGUCAUUUCCACCAUCACAGCAAACACAUCUGCCCACCAGAUCUUGGAGCCUCCUUAAGACCAUCAGGCCAUCAACAAGGACGCCACUUCCCCUCCUAAGGCUGUUACUUUCAGAACUUCCUCAACCUCCAGGAUGAGAGCUCUCCCAAUUUCUCAAGUAGAUAGCCAUGCACAGCAGGGGCUCCCUGGUAAGAUUCAGUCUACAUCCACCCAGCUACAUUUAUAUUCCCCAGCCCCACCCCUCAGCCCAAAUUUGGAGCCCCUGAUUUGGCCAACCCAAACUGCAGCACCCCCCAGCCUGCCCCUGCUACCUCCCCACCUGCAGAGACUUCAUACUCCCUGUGCCUGGCCACCUGCACUUCCCAGGUCCCAGCUCCUCCUCCCACCCCUGACUUGGGCAUUGCCUCAGCCCACAUCUCCACCAGUUUGCCUGCACAGCCAGUCACGAGACCAAUGGCAACUUCUAACCACACUAUAAAUCUGGGAGCCACUGCUCCACUCACAUUCGGGGUCCCCAGCAGGAAGCAGGAAAAGCCUGUGUCCCUAAUACCCCUGUUAUUCUGAGCCAUCCCAUUAUGAUGCCUCCAGACACCUCCACUUUAGGGAGCAGCACCUCUGCAACAUCAUCAUCUUUUCCUACCAUUGAUAGCAGUGCUGUGGAUACUACCCUUAUUCAAAAGCUGUCAUCUCCCAGUCUGCCACUAUCUCAUGGAAGAAGUGCACUGUGCCUUACCUGGGGCUCCUUGGUUCUGGGUAUUCACAACCAACCCAGUGGCAACAUUACUUCAGCCCAUGUCUCCACCAGUUUGCCUGCAGUCAGUCACGGGAUCGAUGGCAACUUCUCCACAUGCUGUAAGUCCAGGAGCCACCUCCCAGCUCAUAUCUGGGGCUUCUCAUGGGCAGGAUAAGUCAGACGAUUCUCUCAUUCUGGGAAACCCAGCAACCCCAGCACCAGUCAUAAGCCUAAGGUCUCCUGCAGCCCAGCCACCCAGUGAGUGGCAGCAUCAUGGCAGCAGAUCUCACUGGUGUGACAUCACCAUAUUCCACAUUUGGCCUGCCUGUCAAUGUGCAGCCACGUAUGCUUAACAACUCAAGUGCUUUCCUCAUUACUACAGCCAAGUCUUCUGUAUUUAAAGUUGCCACUAGCAUGCCUGGCAGUGGCGACAGUACUGCAUUGGUUGGCAAUUCUACUCUAGUCCCACUGGGGAUUAUGAGACCUGGAACCCCUACAGAUUGUGAGAACAUAGGGGUUAGCAUGUCUGCCUCAGGCCCCAGUUCAACAUCAGGAACAUUGAAAGCUGUACCAGGAUGGAGGAGAACAACCAACACCAGUCUGUUCCCCCAUUUAGUCAGGUAGCCUGGGGUUCACCUGCUCAUACCACAUUGGUUGUGGCUACAAACACCAGCAACAUCUCUGCUUGUUCUACCUUCAUGCCAAGUAUCUGGCAUGCACCGCUCCAGAACCCAGGUGUUGCACCAAGAGGAGGCACACUCAUUUCCAUUGUCGGAGGCCCUUGUGCUUCCUUUUUCCAUCAGUCCAUGGUUGGCCCAUCUGGACACAGGUGGUGCAUCUACAAUGAAUGCCACCAUAGCUAUAAUGAGAGGCCUUCAUGUGC
RNAcentral lists this long non-coding RNA (3310 nucleotides) under Homo sapiens (human). Its description in RNAcentral is "non-protein coding lnc-TLE1-9:1". Lineage: Eukaryota; Metazoa; Chordata; Mammalia; Primates; Hominidae. The record is from RNAcentral.